UAUUUAGCAACAAAAAAAAUAAUAAAUUAUUUAACAGAAAAGUCUGCAUAAAAUUAACCCAAGUAAAAGAAGGAUAUACCUCUUUGAAAAAAAGAAAAUUUGUAAUGAUGGAGUAACUUACUGAUGACUGAUCUUUGAGUAUCAUACAUUUGUCCUUGCUAUGGAGGGAAUGAAACACUACUCCAAAACAACAACAACUACCCAGUAUAGUACCACAAAGUUGGGUCUAGGGAGGGUAAUAUGUAGACGAGCCUUACCCCUACCCGAAAGGACAG
RNAcentral lists this long non-coding RNA (275 nucleotides) under Nicotiana benthamiana. RNAcentral's name for it is "long non-coding RNA (NBEN_LNC001545)". Lineage: Eukaryota; Viridiplantae; Streptophyta; Magnoliopsida; Solanales; Solanaceae. The record is from RNAcentral.